UCGAACGGGAUCCGGACUUCGGUUCGGUGAGAGUGGCGGACGGGUGAGUAACGCGUGGGAACCUGCCCAGUGGUGGGGGAUAACUGCGGGAAACUGCAGCUAAUACCGCAUGAGCCCGAGAGGGGAAAGAUUUAUCGCCAUUGGAGGGGCCCGCGUUCGAUUAGGUAGUUGGUGAGGUAAUGGCUCACCAAGCCGACGAUCGAUAGCUGGUCUGAGAGGAUGAUCAGCCACACUGGGACUGAGAUACGGCCCAGACUCCUACGGGAGGCAGCAGUGGGGAAUAUUGGACAAUGGGGGCAACCCUGAUCCAGCAAUGCCGCGUGAGUGAUGAAGGCCUUCGGGUUGUAAAGCUCUUUUGCCAGGGACGAUGAUGACGGUACCUGGAGAAUAAGCCCCGGCUAACUUCGUGCCAGCAGCCGCGGUAAUACGAAGGGGGCAAGCGUUG
RNAcentral lists this ribosomal RNA (445 nucleotides) under uncultured bacterium. RNAcentral's name for it is "bacterial SSU rRNA". It matches the Rfam family "Bacterial small subunit ribosomal RNA", at positions 62 to 543 of the family's 1533-position model. The record is from RNAcentral.